UCUCGCCCCUCCCCCUUUCCCCCUCCCCGCGGGCCGCCCCCCGCCUCCGGGGACGGCGGGCGGGGCCCCCUCGGCCAAGACGAAGGUGAUCUACCACCUGGACGAGGAGGAGACGCCCUACCUGGUCAAGAUCGCCGUGCCGGCCGAGCGCCUCACCCUCGGCCACGUCAAGGCGGCCCUGGCCCGGCCCGGCGCCAAGUACUUCUUCAAGAGCAUGGACCAGGACUUCGGGGUGGUGAAGGAGGAGAUCACCGAGGACAGUGCCCUCCUGCCCUGCUUCAACGGAAGGGUCGUCUCCUGGCUGGUGUCUUCAGAGGUCCACCCACCCGAGCCGCCACUGCCCCCUUCUCCUGCUCCCAGAGGUCUGGAGCCUUCUCCCCCACCUCCUCUUCCUCCAUUGCCCGUAGAAAGGACCAGCGCAAUCUGCGACUCCCGCCCUCCUUUCUUCCAGUGAGUAGGAAUGGCUGGUGUGUUUGUGUGUCUGUGUUUGGGGGUUUCUACAUGGUAGAGUUAAAAAGGGGGACUAACCCAGCCUAGGACAGGUAUGAAGUUUAGUGGUCGGGGUAUCUUUUGUGGGGGGUGGCUAACAGAAGAAAAGUUUGAGCUAACUUUCUUCAGAAGUAUUUUAGUUUUUGUUGCUUUUAUUUAUUAUUGUUACACUUUUAUCCUGCAUGUAUUGCUUUAUAAGGAACUCAAGGUGUAGCAAUCAUAUUUAAUGCUGUUCCUUUUAUUUUCUCCCCAAAAAAACCCAGCUGG
This 756-nucleotide long non-coding RNA is filed under the name Naja naja (Indian cobra). Its description in RNAcentral is "lncRNA (ENSNNAG00000012502.1)". Lineage: Eukaryota; Metazoa; Chordata; Lepidosauria; Squamata; Elapidae. The record is from RNAcentral.